GAUCCUGGCUCAGGAUGAACGCUGGCGGCGUGCCUAACACAUGCAAGUCGAACGAAGCACAUACGAUGGAACUCUUCGGAGGGAAGAUGUAUGUGACUGAGUGGCGGACGGGUGAGUAACGCGUGGGUAACCUGCCCUAUACAGGGGGACAACAGUUGGAAACGACUGCUAAUACCGCAUAAGCGCACAGUACCGCAUGGUACAGAGCGAAAAACUCCGGUGGUAUAGGAUGGGCCCGCG
Molecule: ribosomal RNA, 240 nt
Filed under: uncultured bacterium
Lineage: Bacteria
Description: partial 16S ribosomal RNA
Rfam family: Bacterial small subunit ribosomal RNA
Source: RNAcentral